GAACGCGAAGAACCUUACCUACCCUUGACAUGGCAGGAAUCCUGAAGAGAUUUAGGAGUGCUCGCAAGAGAACCUGCACACAGGUGCUGCAUGGCUGUCGUCAGCUCGUGUCGUGAGAUGUUGGGUUAAGUCCCGCAACGAGCGCAACCCUUGUCAUUAGUUGCUACGAAAGGGCACUCUAAUGAGACUGCCGGUGACAAACCGGAGGAAGGUGGGGAUGACGUCAAGUCCUCAUGGCCCUUAUGGGUAGGGCUUCACACGUCAUACAAUGGUACAUACAGAGGGCUGCCAACCCGCGAGGGGGAGCUAAUCCCAGAAAGUGUAUCGUAGUCCGGAUUGUAGUCUGCAACUCGACUACAUGAAGUUGGAAUCGCUAGUAAUCGCGGAUCAGCAUGUCGCGGUGAAUACGUUCCCGGGUCUUGUACACACC
This 430-nucleotide ribosomal RNA is filed under the name uncultured bacterium. Its description in RNAcentral is "bacterial SSU rRNA". It matches the Rfam family "Bacterial small subunit ribosomal RNA", at positions 957 to 1391 of the family's 1533-position model. The record is from RNAcentral.